UGAGAGUCCAGUUGAAGUGUUAAGCAGUCAGCUUGUAGAUAGAAACUGUCUCUGAGCCUGUUGGUGUCAAACCUCAUGCUCCGAUAACGUCUGCCAGACAGUAAGAAAGUGAACAGCUUGUGGCUGGGGUGUGUGGGAUCCUUCAUGAUGAUGCGGGCCUUCCUCAGGCACUGUUUCAAGUCCUGGAUGGGUAGAAGCCCGGUCCAACCAGUCAGAACGCUCUCAGCGGUGCAGCGGUAGUAUUUGGAGAGGACCCGGGGUGGCAUGCCGACAUUCUUCAGCCGCUUUAGGAAGUAGAGAUGCUAUUGCGCCCUCUUGACAAGAGUGGUGGUGUUGUUGGUCCAUGACAAGUCCUCAAUGAUGUGGACGCAGAGGAACUUAAAACUGCUGACUCUGUCUACUGCGGUCCCGUUGAUGUGGAUCAGGGCAUGUUCCCUCCUCUGCUUCCUGAAGUUAACAACCAACUCCUUUGUUUUGCUGACAUUGAGGAAGAGGUUGUUGUUUUGGCACCACAAUGCCAGCUCACUUACCUUCUCCCUGUAGGAUGACUCGUCGUUGUUGGUUAUCAGGCCUACAACCACGUCUAAGGGCACAGGAUACAGACACGGGAGGCAGAUGGUUCGAGUCUCUGAUAUUUAUUAUGAUCCAAGGGGCAGGCAAGAGAAUGGUUGUGGACAGGCAAAAUAUCAUAAACUAGGUCAGAGUCCAGGAGGUACAGAGUGGCAGGCAGGCUCGAGGUCAAAACCGGGAGGACUAGCAAAACAGAGAUAAGGAAAAAGCAGGAGCAUGGAAAAACACGCUGGUUGACUUGACAAGACAAGACAAACUGGCAACAGACAAACAGGGAACACAGGAAUAAGUACCCAGGGACUAAUGGGGAAAACAGGUGACACCUGAAGGUGGGUGGAGACAAUCACAAAGGCAGGGGAAACAGAUCAGGGCGUGACACCGCGGGGUCGUCAGAAAACUUGAUGAUGGAGUUGGUGUCGUGCAAAGCGACACAGUCGUGGGUGAACAGGGAGUAAGGUGGGCCCCUGUGUUAAGAGUCAGUGUGGAGGAGGUGUUGUUGGGCAUCCUUACAGCCGUGGUCUGACCAUCAGGAAGUCCAGGAUCCAGUUGCAGAGGGUGGUGUCCAGACCCAGGCCUCUGAGAUUGGUAUUGAGCUUGGAGGGAACAAUAUUAUUGAAUUCUGAACUGUAGCCAAUGAACAGCAUUCUCACAUAGGUGUUCGUCUUGUCCAGAUGUGUUACGGCCUCGUGAAUAUGGAUGGAAAUGGCAUCUUCCAUGGAUCUGUUGGAGAAUUAGGAAAAUUGGACUGGGUCCAAUGUGAUUGGCAUGCUGGCCUUGAUGUGGGCCAUUACCGACCUCUCGAAACACUUCAUGAUGCCUAGGGUGAAUGUGACAGGUGAUAGUUAUUUGGGCAUGUCACCAUGUUUUUCUUAGGCACUGGGAUGAUGGUGAUCUGUCUCUUUAAAGUAGGUGGGGACUACAGCCUGGGACUGGGACAGGGACUACAGCCUGGGACUGGGACUGGGACAGGGACUACAGACUGGGACUGGGACUGGGACAGGUUGAAGAUUUGGCCGUAGCCAUGGUCUGAGUUUUAAUGAGGUCUAGGGGGAUUUCGGGGGGAAAUGUUAAGAAAGUUGAAGCUCAUCACCAUCACAUCUCCUCCACCAUGCUUCAUGUUGGGAACCACAAACGUGGAGAUCAUCCGUUCACCCACUCUGCGUCUCACAAAGACAUGGCGGUUGCAACCAAAAAUUGCACAUUUGGACUCAUCACACCAAAGGAAAGAUUUCCAUUGCGUGUGUUUCUUGGCCCAAGCUUGUCUCUUCUUCUUAUUGGUGUCCUUUAGUAGUGGUUACUUUGCAGCAAUUCAACCACGAAGGCCUGAUUCACGCAGUCUUCUCUGAACAGUUGAUGUUGAGAUGUGUCUGUUACUUGAACUCUGUGAAGCAUUUAUUUGGGCUGCAAUUUCUGAGUCUGGUAACUCUAAUGAACUUAUCCUCUGCAGCAGAGGUAACUCUGGGUCUUCCUUUCCUGUGGCUGUCCUCAUGAGAGCCAGUUUCAUCAUAGCGCUUGAUGGUUUUUGCAACUGCACUUGAAGAAACUUUAAAAGUUCUUAAAAUUGUACACAUUGACUGAUCUUCAUGUCUUAAAGUAAUGAUGGACUGUCAUUUCUCUUUGCUUAUUUGAGCUGUUCUUGCCAUAAUAUACCACCCUUACCUUGUCACAACACAACUGAUUGGCUCAAACACAUUAAGAAGGAAAGAAAUUCCACAAAUUAACUUUUAACAAGGCACACCUGUUAAUUGAAAUGCAUUCCAGGUGACUACCUCAUGCAGCUGUUUGAGAGAAUGCCAAGAGUGUGCAAAGCUGUCAUCAAGGCAAAGGGUGACUACUUUGGAGAAUGUCAAAUAUAACAUAUAUUUUGAUUUGUUUAACACUUUUUUGGUUACUACAUGAUUCUAUAUGUGUUAUUUCAUAGUGUUGAUGUCUUCACUAUUACUCUAC
This 2517-nucleotide long non-coding RNA is filed under the name Salmo salar (Atlantic salmon). Its description in RNAcentral is "lncRNA (ENSSSAG00000085251.1)". The record is from RNAcentral. Lineage: Eukaryota; Metazoa; Chordata; Actinopteri; Salmoniformes; Salmonidae.